GAUGAACGCUGGCGGCGUGCCUAAUACAUGCAAGUCGAGCGAACAGACGAGGAGCUUGCUCCUCUGACGUUAGCGGCGGACGGGUGAGUAACACGUGGAUAACCUACCUAUAAGACUGGGAUAACUUCGGGAAACCGGAGCUAAUACCGGAUAAUAUAUUGAACCGCAUGGUUCAAUAGUGAAAGACGGUUUUGCUGUCUCUUAUAGCUUGAUCCGCGCCGCAUUAGCUAGUUGGUAAGGUAACGGCUUACCAAGGCGACGAUGCGUAGCCGACCUGAGAGGGUGAUCGGCCACACUGGAACUGAGACACGGUCCAGACUCCUACGGGAGGCAGCAGUAGGGAAUCUUCCGCAAUGGGCGAAAGCAUGACGGAGCAACGCCGCGUGAGUGAUGAAGGUCUUCGGAUCGUAAAACUCUGUUAUUAGGGAAGAACAAAUGUGUAAGUAACUAUGCACGUCUUGACGGUACCUAAUCAGAAAGCCACGGCUAACUACGUG
This 497-nucleotide ribosomal RNA is filed under the name uncultured bacterium. RNAcentral's name for it is "partial 16S ribosomal RNA". It matches the Rfam family "Bacterial small subunit ribosomal RNA", at positions 28 to 507 of the family's 1533-position model. The record is from RNAcentral.